AUAAUCAAAACAGGCUUCUUCUUCUUUUUUUUUUUAAAACCUAAAGCUUUGUGGUUUAUGCUUAGUAACAAAAAAAAGUCAAGUAUCAGUGGUCUCUAUAACUAACAGUGAGCAAGAUUGGAUUUUGAAAAAUCUUGUACCAAUUUGCUUUUGUGCUAUUUUAUAUUCAAUUGACGAAAGAAUUAAUGCUGUAACUGUUACCCUUGCGUCUAUGACUACAUUAAUAAUGCCCCCAAAUUAAAGCGCACAUAAAUUAAAUAGUAUACUCUAGCAAAUUAAAUUAAGUCAUAUUGUAAGGUACCGAGAAUUAAAUAUUCUAUUAGCAAAAUCAAAACGUAAAAUCUAUCCAAACUAAGCCCACCGGUUUGUCCAUGAAAAUUAAUUAUUUCUUCAUUAUUAUCCAAUUAAUAUCUUCACUUGAUCACAUGGUUUAUGAUUACUUCAUAGUUAUCCAACAUCUUCAUACACUUUUUUAUGACUAACCUAUUGGUCUAUCCAAAUUAAUAGUAGUCACUUAAUUUGUUGUGGUCCAAUAUCAUCACUUGAUAAGAUUAAAGCAUGUAUACCCACAGCCCCCUAUAUGCCUUUUAUAUAUCAUGACUUUGUCCAGCAAGAGAGAAAGAGAGCAAGGGUACGACUCUUUUCCAGCUUUUACAAAUCUACUGUAGAAUAACAUGAUUUAGGUAAAAAUAAUUUAAAAAAUAUCAAAUAUUAAAAUUAACUUUUAAAAUUUUAAAAUUAUUUUCUGCCAUCUCAAAAACAGUGUCAAAUGAAAUCCUUUAGCCAAUUAAAAGAAAAAAUAGUGAAAAGUAGUGGGAAUUUUAUUAACCGCACAAAUCGUAAGUCAAAAAAUAUGAACAAAAUAAUUUGUUCUUAGGAACUCUAAUAAAUUGGAGGCAUGUGCUGCCCGAAACCAAAUGAUGCAUCAAGAUUUGUUCUUUCAAAAACAAAAUUAAUUUGUUAAUAGAUAGUUGCGUGUUUUACUUUCAAAAAAGGCUAAAAUAAUUUCAGGCUUGGAUGCAUCUAACGGCUGAAAUCAUAAUAUCAAGAUUUAUUCUUAAGUCUUUUUUUGAUAUCAAGAUUUUUGAUUCAACCACACAAUUAAGUUAAAGUUUCGUAUGCAGACUAUUAGGGAUUCAUCCAGUAUGCAACAAACAGAUGAAAUAAUAUUUUGAAAAGAAAAUUAAUUUGUCUGGUAAUUAAUUAUUGCCGGCAAACUUUAUCUCAAAUCGCAUACUUCUUUUCAAAUAUUAUCUACUUUUCUAGACUCUACGAUUACUGUCUACAUUUUUCAAUGAAUUAUUGCUCGGUAACUAGUUUUUUUACAAUCAUUUAUUUAGCGGACCAGACCGUGUUUCGCACUAAUUGCAAUCAUUUAACUAUAUAUGGCCGUUAAUCGUACCCAGCCAUUGCGCGAAAAAACAUCAGCCGUUGAUCGUUUAUCUGUACCAUUUUAUAAUAUUUAUAAUAUUUUCCUUAUAAAUCAUGAUCUUCCCUAAAGUUAUGGAUUCUUCCAUAUAGAGAUGAUUGUGAUUUAUUUGUCAAUUUAAAAGUUCCAACAGUAUCUCAAUGUUGUGCAUUUUCAGCUAAUUAGUCAAGGUAAUCUAGUGCAUCUUUAGGAUUUUUAUCCCUAAAUUUACUAUUACACAUCAUUUCAACAACCUAUCUACUUUAGGGUGCCAAGCUCUCGUAGAAAUAAGUGACCAAUCACCAAGUUUUAAAACCAUGGUGUGGACAUAUGUCAAGCAAUUCUUUAAACUCAUCCCAACAUUGGUACAAUGUUUCUCCAUUUUUUUGACUGAAAGAAGUGAUUUGUAUUUUAAAAGAAUUGAUUCUAUGAGGUGGAAUUUUUUUUUUCAAAAAUUGUUCUUGCAUGUUAUUCGAAGUUCUUAUUGAUUCAAAUCUAAGGUUUUGCAUCCAAGUUUUAACUUUAUCUUUUACGGUGCGUUUACUUUAUGAGAAUGAAAAUAUGGUAGAAUGAGAAUGGGCUGGGAAUGGGAAUGAGAUUUCAAUAUUUACUUGGCAAAAAUAAAUGGGAAUGAGAAUAUGCUGGAAUGUCAUUGAUGUGUUUACUUGGCAAAAUAAAUGGGAAUGAAGAAUGAGAAUCAUUUUACCAAAAUACCCAUAGUAUUAAUAAUUAAUAAAAAUAAUUAUUUUAUCAAUAUUAUCAUUAUUGUUUUUGUUGUUAAUAUUAUUUUUAUUAAUAUUAUCAUUAUUAACAUUUAUUAUUAUUAUUAUUAAAUUUUAUUAAAUUUAUUAUUUUAGUUAUUAUUAAUUACUGUUAAUAUUAUUUUUAUUAAUAUUAUCAUUAUUAACAUUUAUUAUUAUUAUUAACUUUAUUAUUUUAGUUACUAUUAAUUAUUGUUAAUAUUAUUUUUAUUAUAUUAUCAUUAUUAAAAUUUAUUAUUAUUAUUAUUAACUUUAUUAUUUUAUUUAUUAUUAAUUAUUGUUAUUACUAUUUUUAUUAAUAUUAUCAUUAUUAACAUUUAUUAUUGUUAUUAUUAAAAUUAAAUUUUAUUAACUUUAUUAUUUUAGUUAUUAUUAAUUAUUGUUAUUAUUAUUUUUAAUAAUAAUAAUAAUGAUAAAUGUUAAUAAUGAUAAUAUUAAUAAAAAUAAUAAUAACAAUAAUUAACAAUAACUAAAAUAAUAAAGUUAAUAAAAUUUAAUAAUAAUAAUAAUAAAAUUAAUAAUAAUAAUAACAACAAUAAGGAUAAUAUUGUUAAUAAUGAUAAAUUAAAUAUUUUUAUCAUUAUUUUUAUUGUUAAUAAUGAUAAUAUUAAUGAAAAUAAUAAUAAUAAUUAAUAAUAACUAAAAUAACAAAGUUAAUAAAAUUUAAUAAUAAUAAUAAUAAUUAUUAUUAUUAUUAAUGAUAUUUAAAAUAAUAAAAUUAUGUGUGAUUUGAACAAGGGUGAUUUAGGAAAUAUGAAAAAAUUAGAAGGAUAGAAAAGUAAAUUUAUAUUUUAUUCUCAUUCCCACAUUUUUAUUCCCAACCCCCCAUGGGAAUGAGAUUCCUAUUCCUUAUUCCCAAAUUGUGUGAGACCCACACAUUUUAUUUCCAUUCCCAAAUUACAUUUUGCCAAGUAAACAUAUGUUUCAUUCCCAUCCCUUCAUUCUCAUUCCUGAAACCCGUUCAUUCCCAUUCCUUCAUUCUCAUUCCCAAAACCCAUAAGUAAACACACCAUUAAUGAAAAAGGAAAAAAGUUUAACCUAAUUAUGUUCAUGCUACAAUUUUGGUCUGUGUAUGUAUUACAAACUUCCUCAAAGAUGCAAGUAUGGAUUCUUAUAUUCUAAACCAUGAAAUAUUGGUAAAAGUUGGAUAACACAUGGUUUAAAGUUGAAUUGAGAAGCUUCUGGAGGAAAUACUAUACACGACGGUGCUCCGGUUAUGGUUGGAUUCAUGUAGUCUCUCAAGAUUCUUGGUUGAUUAUGAUCACGUCCAUGUUGAGAAUGAUUGUCUCCCUGAUAAAUCUAAGGAUUAGGUUCGCCCAAAAAGUUUUCGUCUUGGAUUUCGUCCAUGAUUGGUGGUGGAGAUUGAGAUCUACGAAUUAACCUGCCACUUGAAGUUCGAGGCCAACGUCUCAUGCAAUGGUUAUAUCACAAACGUAAUAUUCAAAUAAUUUAGUAACAAAAGAACUAAAUGAAAAUUGCACAAAACAAAAAUAAAAAUUAAAUAUGCAAAUAAUAAGAGGAUGGAUGCCCCGAAAUCUGGGUUGUGACUUCUGAUCAUUGUCCCAGCAUGAAGUUUGUUGUGACUUCUAGUUCACAUGCACUCUGUUUUUGUAGUUGCCGAAUGUCAAUGUUAUUGUAGUUCCCUUUUAAGGCUAUAUCUUGUCUAGUUGUCUUUGUGCUCGAAAGUGUGAACUUAGUCAGCGUCGAUAAAUGGAGUGCUUUUGCAUGUUACUUUUUAAUGAAUGGUGGAAACAAUAAUUCAUAAGCAUCUUAGCAUAACAUUUUCGCUCAAUUAAUGCAUAUCAAUAGCGGUUUACUUAUGCUCUGUAUGUGACGCAUUUCUAGGAAGCUUAUAUAUGGAGUUCAUUCGUUUCUGAGGUAUGCUAGAUUUUCUAUUAUUUACGUUGUUAAAACUUGUUUUUUUCUCAUGUUUGGGCAGUUAGGGCAUUCCGCUGGUCACGACAUUAACAUUAUUGAUAUUUUCUUGCUGUUCAUGUCUUCCUCACUGUAUAUAAUAUUGUAGACUUAAGUGGGCACCUGAUAAAAAUGGAUAGUUAGACUAAAUUUUUCUGGAAGGUACAAGAUCAAAAUUCUGUUUGAAAUCUUUACACGCGUUUGUGGUAAUUGUUCUCUAAUUACUUUUCGUCUAUCAGAACGACGUGGUCCAUGCCUGGAGGCCUGGAUAUUCAACUCGGCUAUUGUGCACAAGUAACUUUUCGAAAGUCCUUUUAACCUCAAUUUCUCACUCUCUCAGCGGUGCCAAUGACAUUUAAUUAUCUUUAAGGGUGAUUGAACAAAAAAAUGUCGGUGUGGUCGACUCUGCUGAGUACAUUGUUCAUCUCAGUUUCCCUACGCUUGGUGUCACUACAGAACCUUAGGCAAGUAGUUUAAUUCACAUCAAUAACAGAAUCUUGAGACUGAACUGCUUGAACUGUGUUUAAGCUUUACAUUUGAGUUGUCGAUUCUCUUAUUAUACUAUUAGAACAUUUAAUUCUUGAUAUUAAAACAUUUUUAUAGGUCCGAAGACGGUCCUACAUCAAAAUGCAGAUCUUUAGAAAUAGAUGUAAACCUAUGUUGUUUCAAAAAUUUAUUUCAUGUCGUUUUUCUUUUAAAUUUAUGGUGAUUUGCAGAUCAGGAGUAGUCGCUGGCAUUGUUAUGAUACUAUGAUAGUCGUGCAUACACCAAAAGAAAAACAAAUAGCCGGGUAACUAAGCUCCUUGACAUCUCGAGGGGAGAUUUUCGUAGUGAACUUCAACAUUGAACCCAUCCAUAAUCAGAUAGUUCGACUGCAAAGAUUUCCAGCAAAUCACCAUGAAAAUCCACCUUCACUAAAGUCUUGGCAAAAUAACCAUACUUUUUCUCUCUCAUUGCCUGAUCAAUUUGCAAAGAAAUGCCAACUUCUCUAGCCACCGUCAUCAGAAUUCUAGGAUGCCAGUACUCCCUUCUGGGACCAUAUAUUUUAAUCCAAACUUGAGCACGUGACUGGAUAGUGUAAUUCACAUCAAUAACAGAAUCACGUUAAUUCACAUCAUUUUCGUAUGCACACUAUUACGGGUUCAUCCAGGUAUGCAAUAAACAGAUGAAAUGAUAUUUUGAAAAGAAAAUUAAGACUAUUAGUUCAUUUGUCUUGUAAUUAAUUAUUGCCGACAAACUAUACAUCGAAUCACAAACUUUUUUUCAAUUAUUAUCUACUUUGCUAAUUUCUGCCUUUACCGUCUACAUUUUUCAAUGAAUUAUUGCUUGGUAAAUCGUUUUUUCACCUAUUCAAAAAAAAUAUAUAUAUAUAGUUUUUUCACAAUUAUUUAUUUGGUGGACCAGACCGUGUUUCGCACUAAUUGCAAUCAUUUAACCAUAUGUAGCUGUUAAUCUUACCCAACUAUUGUGGGAAAAAACUUCAGCCGUUGAUCCUUUUUCUGUACCAUUACCAUGAAUUAUUAUUGCUUUACCCGUGGCUACAUAAUUGAAUCACAAUAAAAAUCUGAUCAAACCAGAAAUAACAACUCGCUCAAGCUCAACUACUUAAGUUUUGAUUACGCUUCAUUCACCGUAAGCUGGCAGAGAUCUUUUCCCUUUCUAAUUUGAAGAAUAUGGAAACUAUUUGCGCAGGUUUAUAGCCCAUGUUCAGUUGAAUGAUUAACUCUUAUUUUAAUUUAUGCAUUUAUGAUUAUUUUAACAUAUGUAUUUUGAUACAAACUAUUAAAAUAUCUAUUUUAUUUAUUUAAUUUUAUGGUAUUAGUUAAUUUUGAACUAGUCAAAAGUAGUUGCAAUUAUUUUGUGGAACUACAUGUAAUUAGUGGAGCAUUAUGUGAGAUUAUGCUUAGUGUUACUAAUUUUUAGGUUGUAAUCCUAAAUAAGCCUUAUUAUAUAAAACGUGAUGUUAUUCAAUAAAAAGUAUCAUGAGUUUAUUAUUUUGGCAACAUAAAAGUUGUAAUUGGGAGUUUAUUGGUUUCUCGAAUAACCAAUACUUAUUUGGAGGUUUGGAUUUCCUCAAAUUAACCCCAUUUGUUAUCUAAUUUUUUUAUUUCAUUUUAUUUCUCUUUAUAAACUUUAGUGUUCGUAUUAUAUUUAUAAAUGUAUUUUUUAAUAUUACUUUUUCAAGUAAGAAGUCCGCAUACCCACUUUAUUAUAAUAAUAUUGCCGAUGAUGAUGAUGGGAAAAAUGAUAAUUUUGACCUGUUUGUUGCCCAUCAAUAUGGGAGAAAUCCUGACCAUACUGGUUAAGUACAUGUAAUAUUUGUUUAUUGUCCUUCAAUAUGGGAGAAAUCCUGACCAUACUGGUUAGGUACAUGCAAUAUUAAUCUUUCGUUUUAUGUUUAAUUAAAUAAAAGGAUAGGUACUGUUAUUACUUAUGAAUCAUGUCAGUGCCAUUUUGGUUCAGUUCAACUAUUAAUAUCUCUUAGAAUGUUAAAGAAAUUAUCACUGUUAGUGUCCAUGUACUUCGUUCACUAUCUCCUAGGGUGAUGUCCUAGGCUCGGGUUAUGCCAGAGUCUUGGUUCNNNNNNNNNNNNNNNNNNNNNNNNNNNNNNNNNNNNNNNNNNNNNNNNNNNNNNNNNNNNNNNNNNNNNNNNNNNNNNNNNNNNNNNNNNNNNNNNNNNNNNNNNNNNNNNNNNNNNNNNNNNNNNNNNNNNNNNNNNNNNNNNNNNNNNNNNNNNNNNNNNNNNNNNNNNNNNNNNNNNNNNNNNNNNNNNNNNNNNNNNNNNNNNNNNNNNNNNNNNNNNNNNNNNNNNNNNNNNNNNNNNNNNNNNNNNNNNNNNNNNNNNNNNNNNNNNNNNNNNNNNNNNNNNNNNNNNNNNNNNNNNNNNNNNNNNNNNNNNNNNNNNNNNNNNNNNNNNNNNNNNNNNNNNNNNNNNNNNNNNNNNNNNNNNNNNNNNNNNNNNNNNNNNNNNNNNNNNNNNNNNNNNNNNNNNNNNNNNNNNNNNNNNNNNNNNNNNNNNNNNNNNNNNNNNNNNNNNNNNNNNNNNNNNNNNNNNNNNNNNNNNNNNNNNNNNNNNNNNNNNNNNNNNNNNNNNNNNNNNNNNNNNNNNNNNNNNNNNNNNNNNNNNNNNNNNNNNNNNNNNNNNNNNNNNNNNNNNNNNNNNNNNNNNNNNNNNNNNNNNNNNNNNNNNNNNNNNNNNNNNNNNNNNNNNNNNNNACAACCCAAACAAGCUCUGAGGAAAAGGACACACACACACCCCGCAUGCUAAUAUUAAUAAAGCAACUGAUAUAUUUGUUAAUUUAUAAAGUUUAUUAACUAAUAAAUGCCAAAUAUACUAAUUUUUAUUGUAGUAUAAGCCCAAGUUCAUGGUAGAGAAAACAGGCCUAGGCCCUUUGUAGGAUUGUCCAAGUUGGAACAGGUCGAACUUAAGACUUUUUUAACAAUUCAAUAAAAUAAAACAAUAGCUAAAAGGUAAAAACAACUUAAGUUAAAGAGGAUUUUAUUAAUUUUUUCUCUAUUCAACUAAUUAUACAACAAUAUUUAUUUAAAAAAAUUGAAAUAACCUCCAACAAAAAAAUGAAUUUUACAAAAAUUUACAGCCUACAAAAUGUAGGUUCAAUUGUUCAACAUAAAAUUACUAUAACAACAAUAAUAAUAAAAGACAUAAUUAGCAUCAGAUUCCAAAUCCAAUAAUCCAAUUUCCAUAAACACUAUCACACUAACAUUUUUUUUCUUUCUUAUUUUUCCAUUCCAUUUUUUUCAAACUUAAUUCGUAAAUUAAAUUUAAUUAUUUAAAGAAAGAAUAUGUUUGAGAUUUGAUGCACAAAACAUAUAUAAAUUAUUCAUAAUUUCAGUAUUAGGAAAUAAAUGUUUAGGGGGAUUGAAUUGAUGUCCAAAAUUCAAAUGGCCUAAAUAUGACCCCUUUAUAUAUAUAUACAGUUAUAGAAUAAUUUUUCAAUGCUGAAUCAUUGACCAUAUUAAAGUCAAGACAAGGUAAAAAAAAAAAAUCAACGUUAAUACAAAGUAUAUUGUCGUAUAAUGUUUUGAAAAAUUCCUGCAAAUAUAUGGAAACUGAAAAUGAUCAUAUUAUUUCUGGUGAUUAAUGAUUCUUGUGGAGUAGAUCCCUGAUCUAUGAAAUGACUUACAUGAGCAUAUUCACCCUUUGGGAGUGGGAAACAAGUAAAAAUAUGUGUGCUAGAGGAGACAACAUUGGGGAGUUAAGUCUGUGCUUCUCGUAAUCAAUUUCCAUAUCUAAAGAAAAUGGAGUUUAUAAUCUUGCUUUUACUAACCUCGUUAACUACUUUGUGAACAAGUUUUUGAUAGACAAAUCUCACACAUCCAGUGUUUGGUGUUUGGUUUUAAGGCCUUUAAGUUUAUGUACUUUCCAUAUUAGGACCAAUAUCGGAUCUUUAACAACUUUUUUAGAUUUUUAAGUACUUUGGUAUGUUUAGGCCUUCAAUUAUUAACUUUAGGAAAAAGGUUGAGGAAGAGGAAUUUCUUGGAGAUACAGAGCUCUAUCGUGAUCCUACCACAACACUUUACUAGUAAUAUACUCUCUAAGUUUCUUUUAUUGACAUUUUUUGUUCGAUCCCUUCUUAACCUUCUAGGAUAUGACUUUCCUCUUUUAUUUACACUACAAACUGGGGUAUAGACAACGCUGUUCCUGUCUUACUUGUUGACGGCUAUAAUUUCUGUGGCAAUUGGCCUAAGCUGAAGAAACAUUUUAUGAAAGGAACGCUAAUUGUCGCUUGUCAAAAGCUAAUUGAUGCACUUGCGGAAUUUAGUACGACAAGACGUUUGUAUCUGUUUUUUUCCUCUUCUGUAUGGGGGCUUCAUUGUAUGGUACAGCCAAUCAAACAGGAUGCAGUCUUGCUUGGGCUAUACAACAGUGAUGUUUUUAUAUAUAAUCUAAUUGACACAAUCAUUCCCAAUUUCCUGUUAGGAAUUGGUGGGUGAAGUAGACACGCAGCUAAACUGAAAUUGGAAGAAAAUAAAGAAUAAGCACAAUAGAGGACACCAGAAAUUACGUGGUUCGGCUUUUAGCCUACGUCCACGGGCGAAAACAGAAGGAAAUAUUUUACUAGUGAAAAUGAGUUACAAGUAUUAUAGUAUUUUAGCUCACUUUCCAAAACCCCAAUACACCCAAACUCUCUCAAUCACUGUAACAAGAGCUUAUAAACGCAAGCUCUCUAAACUCUCUCCUAAGUACUAAAUUGCUCUCUAAAAAUGGAAUGAAUAAGCUCUUCAUUUGCACUUGUAUUUAUAGCAAAAUGAUGGCCAAGAAAGUCAAAGCCGUGGGUAUCAAAAUCUUCUUCAAAACCGUGUUCAAUCUUCAAAGCCAUGUGCCAACCAUUCUUGUCAAAGCUUCUAGAUGCAGCCAUGCCAACCAUUCUUGUUUAUUUCUUUGGUCGGCUGCCAAAACCAAGACCAAGAAGAUUUGGGUAGGCCACCACCAACUUUGACAUUUCUCCCACUUGGAGAUUUGAUUGAGAAUCAAUCAAUCUCCACACCAUCCUUUCUGCUUCGCCAUAAUCAUGUUGCCUACGUUUCUGCUAGGCCACAAGAGGAUUUACUUCAGAUAAACUUAUCAGUAUUUAACGGCUUGGUCAAAACAUCUGCUAGGUUCUCCUUCGUAUGGAUUUUCUGUAAAUCCACACUUCCAUCUUCCACUACUUCUCGAACAAAGUGAUAUUGAACUCCUAUGUGCUUUGUCCUGGAAUGAAAGGCUGGAUUCCUUGCAAUGUGCAAGGCACUCUGACUGUCACAAAACACAGAAAUUUUCUCUUGUUUGUGCCCGAGCUCCUCCAAUAACCUUUGUAUCCAAAUAGCUUCCUUGCAAGCUUGUGUAGCUGCCAUGUACUCUGCUUCUGUUGUAGAUAAAGUCACAACGGUCUGCAGUUUCGAAACCCAGCUUACAGCCGCUCCCGCAAGUGUAAACACAUAACCAGUAGUGGAUUUCCUUUUAUCAAGAUCUCCUGCAAAAUCUGAAUCCACAUAUCCCCUGACAGUAAACUCUGAUCCUCUAUAACAUAAUGCAACAUCUGAGGUUCCUCUGAUGUAUCUCAGAAUCCUCUUUACAGCUAUCCAAUGCUCUUCACCAGGAUUCGCCAUGUAUCGACUUACUGCUCCCACUGCUUGUGCAAUGUCCGGUCUUGUACAUAUCAUAACGAACAUCAAACUUCCCACUACUGAUGCAUACGGCACUCGAGACAUCUCCUUCCUCUCUACUUCAUUGCUAGGACAUAUACUUGAGGAUAAUUUGAAAUUAACAGGAAGUGGGGUAGAAAUUGACUUACAAUUUUGCAUGUUGAAGCGCCGCAAGAUUUUCUUCAAGUAAUUCUUCUGUGAAAGCCAAAUUUUCCUGUUAUUUCUAUCUCGGUAAAUUUGCAUCCCUAGAAUCUUGUUUGCUGGUCCCAAGUUCUUCAUUUCAAACUCCCUAGCCAACUGUGCCUUCAAUUUUUGGAUUCGAUCUUUGUUGGGACCUGCUACCAACAUGUCAUCCACAUACAACAGCAAAAUGAUGAAAUCAUUAUCUUUAAACCUUUUGUAAUAUGCACAAUGGUCUGAACUGAGUCUAUUGUAUCCAAGGCUUAUAAUGAAGGAAUCAAAUCUCUUAUACCAACACCUCGGCGCCUGUUUGAGUCCGUAUAGAGAUUUGUUCAACCUGCAAACCAAGUUCUCCUUUCCUGUUUCUGCAAAACCUUCUGGUUGAAGCAUGAAUAUUUCUUCUUCAAGUUCUCCAUGAAGAAAUGCAGUUUUCACAUCUAACUGCUCUAAAUGUAGGUCAAAUGUAGCACACAUUGCCAAGACUACUCUGACUGUUGUGAGUCGAACCACAGGUGAAAAUAUUUCAUUAAAGUCAAUACCUUCUUUCUGAGCAUAUCCUUUCACCACCAAUCUCGCACGAUACCGCUCCACUUGGUCAUUACCAUCACGUUUGAUCUUGUAGACCCAUUUGUUUCCAAUGGCUUUUAUUCCAUGUGGUAGUGGUACAAGUUUCUAUGUCUUGUUUUUGUGUAGAGCUUUAAUUUCUUCCUGCAUUGCUGUCAUCCACAAAGCAACAUCUGAGCUGUUUAAAGCUUCAUGGAAAGUUGAAGGCUCUCCAUCCUCUGUUAGAAGACAGUACGCAACAUUGAUUUCUGUGAUAUAUUUCGAGUGCCACGUUGGCGGUCGUCUCUCACAAGUUGACCGACGAACUUCUGGAGCCUCGGACUCGACUGGUUCUUGUUCCUCGUGCUCUGGUGCUGCUUUAGAAGAAUCUAAAUCUUCUAGAUUAUUUUCCACAUAUACCGGUAUAGUCUCUGACUUUUCUUUUACAUUGCUAUCAUCUUCAUCUCUCCUUUGCAGUUGAUUUUCUAUAAAGAUAACAUCUCUGCUGAUGACGAUCUUGUGGGUAGUGGGGUACCACAGACGAUACCCCUUUACUCCAUCAGCAUAUCCCAAGAAGAUACAUCUUCUAAAUUUUAGAUCCAGCUUUGUUCUUUCUUGGGCAUUAUACAUCACGUAUACAGGACAUCCAAAUGCAUGUAGGUAAGAAUAAUCAGCUGGCUUUCCAGUCCACAUCUCCAUCGCUGUCUUCAGCCCAAUAGCUGUAGAUGGCGAUCGAUUUACUAUAUAAUAGGCAGUUUUGGCUGCUUCUGCCCAGAAUGAAUUGGGUAGACCAGCAGUCUUCAACAUAGCUCUUAUUCUUUCUGUAAGAGUCCUGUUCAUCCGCUCCGCCACUCCGUUUUGUUGAGGAGUGUAUGCCAUCAUGAACUGCCUCUGAAUAUCUUCUUACUUACAGAAAGCAAGAAACUCACCGUCUGUAUACUCUCCACCAUUAUCUGUCCUCAAGCAUUUGAUCUUUUUACCAGAUUCAAGUUCCACCCGCGCUUUGUAUUCUUUAAACACUGAAAAUACAUCUGACUUUUUCUUAAUUGGAUGCACCCAACAUCUUCUGGAAUAAUCAUCAAUGAAAGUCACCAUGUACUUUGCACCUCCCAUGGAUAUAUCCGGUGAUUCCCAAACAUCAGAAUGAAUCAAGUCUAGAAUGCAUUUACUUCUAGCAAUAGAUCUACUGAAUUUUAAUACAUGUUGCUUACUUGUAACACAAUGCUCGCAAAAUGGUAAACUUACCGAUUUGAGCCCUGGAAGCAAUUUUCGCUCAGAGAGAAUCUUCAAACCUUGUUCCGACAUGUGACCAAGUUUGAGAUGCCACAUCAUCGUUAACUCUUCUCCAUUUGAUGCGACACACGCAUCAGCCUCCUGUAGUGUUUCUCCUUUAAGCAUGAAUAAAUUAGCACCGAUCUUUUCUGCCUUCAUCAAUACAAGCGCGCCCUUAACGAUCUUCAUAAUUCCAUUCUCCACAUGAGUUUUGUACCCAUGACUAUCCAUUUGUCCCAAAGACAAAAGAUUUUUUUUCAGGCCGUUGACAUGUCGUACUUCCCCAAUUUUGUGAAUUGUACCAUCAAACAUUUUUAUUUUGAUCGUACCAAUACCAGCGAUCUCCAAGGCAUGAUCAUUACCCAUAUAUACAGAUCCUCCUGAGAUAGGUUCAUAUGUGUGGAACCAUUCUCUCCGAGAGGUCAUUUGCCAGGUAGCUCCUGAGUCUAUAAGCCAGACAUCAGAUAGUCGUUUUCUGCCUUCUGAAACAAUUGUUGCCUCGCUGUAAAGAAUUUCGCCAUCAUCCGAGGUACUUGCUACACACCCCUGAGCAUUUGAUGACUCAAGUUCUUUGCCCUCUUUUCUCUUCUGGUUACUCCAACACUCUUUCUUGACGUGCCCUUUCUUGCCACAGUUGUAGCACUUAACAUUCUUCUUACUUCUGGAUUUUGAUCUACCAUGAUUUUGACUCCCACUGGGGCCACGUUCCGUUGGUCUCCCUCUCGUCACCGAUAGCGCCUCCGCUUGCUGUGAACUUGCUUGUCUGUUUUCCUUAUUUUUCUGCCUGCUCUCCUCAUUUAAUACGGAGGCUGCAACAUCGUCGAAAACUAGACUGUCCACUGGAUUGUUGUUCGACAGAUUGAUGAUGAGCUGAUCAUAAGAAUCUGGCAGACUUUGAAGUAGAAGCUCUGCACGUUCAUUCUCCUCUAUAUUAUGACCCAACAUUGUGAGUUGUGAAAAUAGAGUCUUCAAGGUGUUGAUGUGGUCGGUCACUAUUGUAGAUUCCACCAUUCGAAGAGUAUAGAGUUUCCUCUUCAAGAAGAUUUUGUUGUGUAGUGACUUGGUCUCGUACAAUUUUGUAAGAGUAUCCCAUAUUUCCUUCGCUGUAUUUUUCUCUGCCACACUGGAUAAUACUCCGUCUGCAAGUGCCAAGUGUAGAUCAGAAAUGGCAUUGCCGUCUACCUCAUUCCACUUGUCAUCAGUUAUCUCCAGGGGCCUUUCUCCAAUUGCUGCCAAGCAAUUAUUUUUCCUUAAUACAGCUUUCAUCUUCAUUUUCCACAAUGAAAAAUUAUUUCAGUUAAACUUCUCAAUUUCAUACUUUGCCGCCGUUUUGUUGAUAAGUACCGCACACAAGCUAGUGUACCACCUUGAAUAGUUGUGAGUAUGUGUGAGAAUGCACACCAAGAAAGUUCCCAGGAAAGACUGGAGGGGUCACAAUGGUCCCACUUAAAAUCCAGACUCCUUAAGCUCUUAUCGCCUUUGUGACAGAACUUUCCUAGACAUGUACAAAAUCACACAGCUGUUUUACUCACACCACUAUUCUCUGCUUUGCACCGCAAAAUUCUUGGAUCGCUCCCACCGUUUCACGUAAAUAGUACCGUAUAUGUGAAUAGUACCGUAUAUGUGAACAGUGCCGUAUACGUGAACAAAACUGUAUUCGUGAACAGUGCCGUAUAUGUGUAUGCGUGUACAGUGCCGUAUACGUGAAUAGUACCCCUUACGUGAACAGUUCCCGACUCCAAAAAAUACAACCAAUAGCUCUGAUACCACUGUUAGGAAAUUGGUGGGUGAAGCAGACACGCAGCUAAAAUUAAAUUGGAAGAAAAUAAAGAACAAGCACAAUAGAGGACACUAGAAAUUACAUGGUUCGGCUUUUAGUCUACGUCCACGGGCGAAGACAGAAGAAAAUAUUUUACUAGUGAAAAGGAGUUACAAGUAUUGUAGUAUUUUAGCUCACUUCCCAAAACCCCAAUACACCCAAACUCUCUCAAUCACUGUAACAAGAGCUUAUAAACGCAAGCUCUCUAAACUCUCUCCUAAGUACUAAAUUGCUCUCUAAAAAUGGAAUGAAUAAACUCUUCAUUUGCACUUGUAUUUAUAGCAAAAUGAUGGCCAAGAAAGUCAAAGCCGUGGGUAUCAAAAUCUUCUUCAAAACCGUGUUCAUCAAAGCUUGGUGGGUGAAAACCGUGUUCAAUCUUCAAAGCCAUGUGCCAACCAUUCUUGUCAAAGCUUCUAGAUGCAGCCAUGCCAACCAUUCUUGUUUAUUUCUUUGGUCGGCUGCCAAAACCAAGACCAAGAAGAUUUGGGUAGGCCACCACCAACUUUGACAUUUCCCACUGCUUAACUGCCUUAUCAAUUUGGAUAUAAUUAAAUACUAGAUUCCAUGAUAAAAAGUGAUAAUUUGAACAUUAAAGACUCUUCUUGGUGAUCACUUUUCUACUUGAUUUAGUUUUGCCAUCCAAUGCUCUUCUUUGAAGGCGUUCGCCAGAGACCAAUUAUAGCUUCAACGUUUCAUAGUGGUUUCUAGCUUGAAUCUCUUUCCAACCCAAUGUUAUAGUGCUAAAGCCAUACACAGAAAGAAGUAGAGAUAAAAAUAGUUGUUACUUUUAUUUUUCAUACAUGUAUAUUGUAACAUUUUGAAUUAUAGGAUAUGUUGUUUUGUCAGUUUCAUCCACAAUGAACUUGCAUCCGGUUAUAUCUUUGUAUGCUCGACUCGAAUUUCAUGAAUGUAUAAAUUUUAUCUUUUCACUGUUAACUUCCCCAUCAGUUGUAUCAUUGUCCUUUCGAUCAGAAAUUCAUGGAAAUUUCAUCCAUUAGCUUUUUCUGGCCUAUCUAGUGGUGGAUGCAUCGUUCUUUUGACCGUGUCAAAAUACCCAUAUUUCCAAAAUCUUUAAGCUUAUGGGAUAAACAGUUGCUCAAUACUGCCCUUGAUAUCCGAGCUAAUCUAGAUGAGAAGUCAGGUUUCUGAAUUCCACCAUUCAAAAUGGCCUUACAACUUCCGCGCUUGUCUUGGCAAGAAAAAGCAAUAGAGGCCUUUUAUUAACCAUAAGGAGUGGACUAAUUCAUGGUUUAAAAUCUUUUGACAGUCAUUAUUUUACUGGUUCGGACUUCGGAUAUCAAGCGGACAAUCAAACAUUUUUCCUAUUGUAAUGUGGUGUUGUGGGAAUUGUUACACGAUGCCUUCAUUGUUCAAAUGACUAGCAGGCUGGUACCAUAUUUUUGUGAUCGAUUGUAGCAUUAAGAGAGCAUGGAUGCCCCAAAAUUUGGGUUGUGACUUCCGAUCAUUGUCGCAGCAUGAAGUUUGUUGUGACUUCUAGCUCACAUGCACUCUGUUUUUGUGGUUGUUGCAUGUCAAUGUUCUUGGAGUUCCCUUUUAAGGCUAUAUCUUGUCUAAUUGUCUUUGUGCUUAAAAGUAUGAAGUUAGUUAGCGUUGAUAAAUGAGUGCUUUUGCAUGUUACUUUUCAAUGAAUGGGGAAACAAUAAUUCAUAAGCAUCUUAGCAUAACAUUCUCGCUCAAUUAAUGCAUAUCAAUAACGGUUUACUUGUGCUCUGUAUGUGACACAUUUCUAAGAAGCUUAUAUCUGGAGUUCCAAGGCAUUUGUUUCUGAGGUAUGCUAAAUUUUCUAUUAUGUACGUUGUUAAAACUUGUUAUUUUUUCAUGUUUGGGCAGUUAGGGCAUUUCGCUGAUCACGACAUUAACAUUGUUGAUAUUUUCUUGCUGUUUCAUGUCUUUCUCACUGUAUAUAAUAUUGUAAACUUAGGUGGGCACCUGAUAAAAAUGGUUAGCUAAACUAAAUUCUUUUUGGAAGGUAUAAGAUCAAGUUUCUGUUUGAAAUCUUUACACGCCUUUGUGGUAAUUGUUCUCUAAUUACUUUUCGUCUAUCAGAACGACUUUGUCCAUGCCUAGAGGCCUGGAUAUAUUCAAUUCGGCUAUUGUGCACAAGUAACUUUUCGAAAAUCCCUUUAACCUCAAUUUCUCACUCUCUCAGCGGUGCCAAUUGUCAAAGCCGGUGGCCUUAACAAGCCAAAUUCAAAUUGGGUUUCAGCCACCAAUCUAGAAGAAGUAGAAUUUCACAGUCAAAAAGAAAGAAAAAGAAAAAUAGAAUUUGAAAGCAGCAAAUGUUGAAGGAUUUGGUGCCGUCCAAAGAAAAUAAGGAAAAAGAAGAAUAAAGAAGAUAAUGGCGGUGAGAAAAAAAUAAUAUUUUAAUAGUCAAUUUUGGCUAUAAAAAGGGAGAGCUCCCCAUUUCAUUUUUGCAUUCAAUUUGUGAGAGAGAAAAAGCAGAGAGCUUGAGUAAUUUUUAGAGUUUAAAAUUAUAAAACUCUUGUAAGUCUCGUGAGUGAGAGAUUAGGUGUAUUGGGUUCUGGGAAGUGAGCCAAAAUAUUACAAUACUCGUAAUCCUCAUUUUACUAGUAUAAUAUUUUCCUUCUGUUUUCGCUUGUAGAUGUAGGCUAAAAACCAAACCACGUAAUUCCUAGUAUCCUCUUUUUGUGUUUGUUCUUUAUUUUCUUCCAAUUUUACUUUAGCUGUGGCCUUACUUCACCCACCAAAUUCCUAACAGUGGUAUCAGAGCUAUUGGUUGUAUUUUUUAGAGUCGAGAAUAUUGUUCACGCAUACGGUACUGUUCACGUAUACGGUAGUUUUAUAAGAAAAAAAANNNNNNNNNNNNNNNNNNNNNNNNNNNNNNNNNCACUGAUGUGAGUAAAGCAACUGUGUAGUUUUGUACAUAUCUAAGAAAGUUCUGUCACAAAGGCGAUAAAAGUUUAAGGAGUCUGAGUUUUAAGUGGGACCGUUAUGACCCUUCCAUUCUUUCCUGGUACUCAUAUUCACACAUACUCACAACAGUGAGGUGGGCAGUGAUUUUAUCAAUGUAGUGAUUUUAUCAAUGCUCAUUUUAAAAUAUUCGUCCGUCAUUGCUCUAAUUCCCCUAUGGCACAAUACCUACAGAUUUCCUUUGGGUUUCAAAGGAAUGCCUCAUACCAUUGUAAAUCGAACUAUUUAAUAGUUUUAUAUUCCAUCUAAAGAUAUACAUUUGCAAAGAUGUUAGAAUACAAUGGAUUAAACCCUUAGUUUGGUUGUACUAGGAGUUUCCUGGCAAGAAGAUCGUCUUGAUAAGGAUGAACAAAGAAUUAUAUUUCUAUCAUCCUUGAUUUUAGUUAAAAUUUUAUUUGUGGCGAACGUCAAAAUAGAUGAAGAUGAAACAAAAAAAACUCAAAAGCUAAAUCUAUUAUGAACACUCAUUUACUCUGCAUGCUUUUGUUUAAUAAUUUUAAAAAUAUUAAUUUUUGCUUAGGAUACUUUUUUCAAAUAUCUAUUUGUCCUCAUUAUCCAAUUCUUAAUUUUCUUAUUUCUUCUUUACACCUAAUAAAAUAUUUAUCCUCACAAGCAAAAUAUCUAACUUUUUUCUAUUGUAUUAAAUUUUUAUGUUUCUUUCAUAAUUUCGUUUAAUAUAUGUUUGUUUUUUCAAUGCCGUAAUUUAAUUUUGCAUUCCAAACCCGCGAAAGCAGGUGGAUUAGCUAGAUUGAAGAUCACAAAGCAAAUUAGAAAAUAUACAUAUAUAUUCUCUUUGAUUUAUUUAUUUACUUAUGUUGGAUUAGUGUAAUUUAUUGUUCUUCCUCUACUUCUGUUUUUAAUUCCUUUUGUUUCGAUUUCAAAAAAGGGAACAUGUUUCUUCAUGUUUUUCUAUCAAGUAACAAACAAAUGAAUAAAUAGAAAAAGUCUGUUCAUGUCUUUAUAUCAAUUAACAAACAAAUGAAUAAAUGGAAAAAGUUUAUUAUUCACAAUAUUUUGACGUGAACAUUGAUUCAAUUUUUCAUUGCUGAUGUAGUUUAUUAUAGACAAAGUAUGACGCUGGACAAAAAAAUUAUUGCAUUGUUCUUAAUAGUAAAUCACAUAAACUUAGUAAUAUAAAAAAUUGUUAAAUGUGUAGAGUUCUAAAUAAGGUUUAGAGUGCAAAUAACUCCAUCCUUAAUCAAACCUUUACAACUAAUGAAAAAGGCUCAUCAUUUUUAAUUAAAUUGAUUUUCUUCUCUGAUAUCUCUUCACAAUGUGGCAUGAUUGACUUGAUAAACUGGAAAAAAAAAACAGAAAAAAGUAUGGCCCAAAACAUAGGCAGAGAGCCGAAGAACCAAGGGUAUUUUGUUUAAAUCAUAUAUUUGUAAGGGUAAACAUAGGUUGUAAUUCUCCGCCCUUUGAUGAUAAAAUAAGAUUCCUUCAAUAUAUGGAUCAGAAUUCAUUUCAUUACAUCUUGAAUUAUUAAACCAAAUUAAAAAAAAAAAAGAAUCAGUUACAGAAUAUUAAUUAACUCCCAAUCAUCAUUGAAUUGUACUUAAAAUCUGACAGCAAAUUUCUGUCCCUGAUUGAUUAAAUCAUCCCCCAAAAGCAAAAUACAAAAGCAACAGCGUGAAUGAUUGAUUUACUCAGAACCGACAAAGUUACCAAAACUUAUGUUAUUUUUAGAAGCCAUAUGAAUCUUACGGGUGUACUCUUGGACGGGCGAAUCCUUUGGAAGCAAAUCAAAGCAUUCAUAAGUUGUCUUAACAGCAUAGUCAAGUUCAUAUUCCAAAGAGCCGAAAUCUUCUCCUUUAAGCGAUACAAUGGCUGCAUUGCUUCUGGCGAAAAUCAUAGUGUAAUAGGCUUGGACCAUCCCGAGCCUAGCUGCAUCAAUACCGUCGGUUUCGGAUUUCAAUUUUUCAAUAGCCUUAAUACCUUCGUCAGCACGUUCAGCGAUGACCUUUAGUCCAGCUAAAAGGAUAUCAUUAUGGGUGGGAUUCUCAGGAUUCUCCAAGUAUUUUGGGAUUGAAUCGGAGCAGUCGUUGGGGAAUUGGGAGCCCAAGCACAGCUCAUCAACACGACUGGUGCCUUCAACGUUAUGCAAUGAUGAAAGAAGAGAAGAUAAAGCGAUGGCAAAGAUGAUUGUAACUUUAAUUGCCAUUGUUCUUGAUCUCUUCUCUUCUCGCUCUCUAUAUCUUCUUUAUUUGAGGAGAAAUGAGAAAUAAGAGACACCACUUGGAGCUUAAAAGGGGAGGGCCUUAUAAAGGCCUGUGUAUGUAUAUUUAUGCAUGCAAAAAUAGGAACUGCCAUUCAAAUUUUGUACAAUACAAUCGCUAAAUUGGUUGAGAAAUAUUCUGUUUAUAGAUCGUGUUUGUUGUUGAUUUGACCUUGUCCCCGUUAAGCCUACCUCUAAUUACCACAAAUUACUUUCUUAAUCUAAAUUAAAGAGAAAAAAUUAAAUUAAAUUAAAUUAACAAAAAAUGAUGAAAGAUUAAAAUAAAAUAUAUUAAUACUGAUUAAACAAAGACGUGAUGCAAUUUAUAUGUCCAUAUUAAGCGCUUUCAUCACCAUCCUGAUCAAGACUCAAAAUAUGAACUUUUUUUUUUAAACUUUUUUUUCAUAUCUUAUAUUCUAUUCACACUAUCCAUAGGAUUAAACAAAAAAGAAAAAUAUUGAACCAAGGUUUUGCUAAUAAGAUUUAUAUGGAUGAAAAGAAUGAAUAAAAAACUAUGUACGCACCUUGAUGUAAAUAUAAUUUUCUAUUAAUACAUUUUUUUAUAUUCUCCAUUAAUUUUUCUUUUCUGUUAUUUUUUUAAUUUUAUUCUGUCAAAGUUUUUUUUUAGAUAAAAAUGCUAAAUACAUGAUUUUAAUUAAUUUGUACAAUGAAAAUAUCAACUACAAAUGCAAAUUUAAAAAUAAAAUUCAAUAAAUAAAUUUUACGAAAUAUAAAAGGUCCUAAACGUUGAAUUUCGCCUAAGGCCCAAAGCGCAGCGAGUUUUGUUCUAUAUAGAAUGCUUAUAUAUGUAACAAGUUUAAUAAUCAUUUUUUUUAUUUUUUUUCAUUAUCUUUAUCACUUGUCCACUGCGUUAUUCAGAAAUUGAAAAAAAAAAAAACCAAAAGCAAGUGAACGAAAAGAAAAAAAAAAAAAAAUUGUUCAUGGAGUCGCAUGAAGCGAUUAUGAGCUCAAGUUUGUUUCCUUUGGAAUCUUCAUCAAUUCAGCAGUAAUUUAAAUAAUAAAACAAUAGAGCUCUCCUUAAUCCUCAGCCCUCAUUCAAAGUUGAAUGAGAUAUUAUUAUUAUUAUUAUUUUGGCUCUUGAGAUAUGAUUUAGAUUUAAACAAUUAAUUGUUGGUAAUUCGUGUCAGAUUUGAAGCGGAUACGGUGAAAUCAACAAUAAACUGGAUCUACAAACGGAAUACACUAAGCCAAAAUUAGCUGUUGAAUAGUACUAAAAGUUGAAUGGGAGUAGCUAGCUAUUUGCAUGCCUGCACGUAUACAUAUAUAUCCUAGAUGUUAGCUUGAAUUUCUAUCUCCUGUUCUGGUUUUUCUUCCCCAAAUUAAAAUUAAAUAAAGAAGAGAAGAACAGAUCAAUAACAAUGGCAGUUAAAGUAACAAUAAUUUUCGCCAUCGCUUUGUCAUCUCUCCUUUCAUUGAAUUAUAUUGAAGCCAAUAUUGUUUGUUAGGAAAUUGGUGGGUGAAGAAGGACCGCAGUUAAGAUGAAAUUAUAAGAAAAUAAAGAACAAGCACAAAAAUUAGAUACAAGAAAUUACGUGGUUCGGCUUUUAGCCUACGUCCACGGGCGAAGACAGAAGGAAAUAUUUUACUAGUAAAAAGGAGUUACAAGUAUUGUAGUAUUUUAUCUCACUACCCAAAACCCCAAUACACCCAAACUCUCAAAAUCACUAAGCACACAAAAUUCUUUGCUCUUGCAAGAAUCACUCCUCACAACUCUCAACUCUCUCUACAAAAUUGCCUCUCAAAAUUGGAUGAAAAAUGAGGGUGGGAAGCCCUCUUUAUAUAGCCAAAAUUUUGGCUCUUUUUUUUUUUUUAUUUAUAGAACAAGUCAACACGGCACCACCAAUAAUGGCGGGCCGUGUUGAAUGGUUGGCACCGGCCAUCUAGAUGGCCGAUGCCAGCCAUGACUUUUAACAUUCUCCCACUUGGAGAUUAGAUUGAGAAUCAAUCAAUCUCCACAUCAUCCUUUCUACUUCGCCAUAGUCAUGUUGCUUACGUUGCUGCUAGGCCACAAGAAGAUCUACUCCAGACAAACUUAUCAGUAUUUAUCGGCUUGGUUAAAACAUCUGCUAGGUUCUCCUUCGUAUGGAUUUUCUGUAAAUCCACACUUCCAUCUUCCACUACUUCUCGAACGAAGUGAUACUGAACUCCUAUGUGCUUUGUCCUGGAAUGAAAAGCGGGAUUCCUUGCAAUGUGCAAGGCACUCUGAUUGUCACAAAACACAAGAAUUUUCUGUUGUUUGUGCCCGAGCUCCUCCAAUAACCUUGUAUCCAAAUAGAUUCCUUGCAAGCUUGUUUAGCUGCCAUGUAUUCUGCUUCUGUUGUAGAUAAAGCCACAACAGUCUGCAGUUUCGAAACCCAGCUUACAGCUGCUCCCGCAAGUGUAAACACAUAACCAGUAAUAGAUUUUCUUUUAUCAAGAUCUCCUGCAAAAUCUAAAUCCACAUAACCCCUGACAGUAAAUUUUGAUCCUCCAUAACAUAAUGCAACAUCUAAGGUUCCUCUGAUGUAUCUCAGAAUCCUCUUCACAGCUAUCCAAUGCUCUCCACCAAGGUUCGUCAUGUAUCGACUUACUGCUCCCACUGCUUGUGCAAUGUCCGGUCUUGUACAUAUCAUAGCGAACAUCAAACUUCCCACUGCUGAUGCAUACGGUACUCGAGACAUCUCCUUCCUUUCUGCUUCAUUGCUAGGACACAUACUUGAGGAUAAUUUAAAAUUAACAGGAAGUGGGGUAGAAAUUGACUUACAAUCUUGCAUGUUGAAGCGCCGCAAGAUUUCCUUCAAGUAAUUCUUCUGUGAAAGCCAAAUCUUCCUGUUAUUUCUGUCUCGGUAAAUUUGCAUCCCUAGAAUCUUGUUUGAUGGUCCCAAGUCCUUCAUUUCAAACUCCCUAGCCAACUGUGCCUUCAAUUCUUGGACUCGAUCUUUGUUGGGGCCUGCUACCAACAUGUCAUCCGCGUACAACAGUAAAAUAAUGAAAUCAUUAUUUUCAAACCUCUUGUAAUAUGCACAAUGGUCUGAACUGAGUCUGUUGUAUCCAAGGCUCAUAAUGAAGGAAUCAAAUCUCUUAUACCAACACAUCGGCUCCUGUUUGAGACCGUAUAGAGAUUUGUUCAAUCUGCAAACCAAGUUCUCCUUUCCUGUUUCUGCAAAACCUUCUGGUUGAAGCAUAUAUAUUUUUUCUUUAAGUUCUCCAUGAAGAAAUGCAGUUUUCACAUCUAACUGCUCUAGAUGUAGGUCAAAUGUAGCACAUAUUGCAAAGACUACUCUGACUGUUGUGAGUCGAACCACCGGUGAAAAUAUAUUGUUGAAGUCAAUACAUUCUUUCUGAGCAUAUCCUUUCACCACCAAUCUCACACGAUACCACUCCACUUGGUCAUUGCCAUCACGUUUGAUCUUGUAAACCUAUUUGUUUCCAAUGGCUUUUCUUCCACGUGGUAGUGGUACAAGUUCCCAUGUCUUGUUCUUGUGUAGAGCUUCAAUUUCUUCCUGCAUUGUUGUCAUCCACAAAGCAACAUCUGAGCUUUCUAAAGUUUCAUGGAAAGUUGAUGGCUCUCCAUCCUCUGUUAGAAGACAGUAUGCAACAUUGAUCUCUAUGACAUACUUUGAGUGCCAUGUUGGCGGUCGUCUCUCACGAGUUGACCGACGAACUUCUGGAGCCUCAGACUCGACUGGUUCUUGUUCCUCAUUCUCUGGUGCUGCUUCAGAAGAAUCUGAAUCUUCUAGAUUAUUUUCCACAUAUACUGGCACAGUCUCUGACUUUUCUUUUACAGUGCCAUCACCUCCAUCUUUCAUUUGUAGUUGAUCUUCUGCAAAAAUAACAUCUCUGCUGAUGACGAUUUUGUGGGCAGUGAGGUCCCACAGACGAUACCCCUUUACUCCAUCAGCAUAUCCCAAGAAGAUACAUCUUUCUAAAUUUUGGAUCCAGCUUUAUUCUUUCUUGGGCAUUGUACAUCACGUACACAGGACAUCCAAAUGCAUGUAGGUAGGAAUAAUCAGCUGGCUUUUCAGUCCACAUCUCCAUCGCUGUCUUCAGCUCAAUAGCUGUAGAUGGCGAUCGAUUUACUAUAUAAUAGGCAGUUUUGGCUGCUUCUGCCCAUAAUGAAUUGGGUAGACCAGCAGUCCUCAACAUAGCUUUUAUUCUUUCUGUAAGAGUUCUGUUCAUCCGCUCCGCCAUUCCGUUUUGUUGAGGAGCGUAUGCUACCGUGAACUGCCUCUGAAUACUAGGGGUGUUCACGGAUCGGAUUUUACGGAUUGGACAUCGAUCCAUAUCCGAUCCAUGAUUUUGCGGAUUAUAAUUUUUCAAUCCAAUCCAAUCCACGGAUUGAUAAAAUUCAAUCCAAAUCCAAUCCAUACAUCUGCGGAUCGGAUGCGGAUUUGACUCAAUCCAUAUCCAAUCCAUACGUCUGCGGAUCGGAUGCGGAUUUAACUCAAUC
Molecule: long non-coding RNA, 23661 nt
Filed under: Citrus x clementina
Lineage: Eukaryota; Viridiplantae; Streptophyta; Magnoliopsida; Sapindales; Rutaceae
Description: Citrus clementina (C. clementina) long non-coding RNA (CCLE_LNC002257)
Source: RNAcentral